GACGAACGCUGGCGGCGUGCCUAAUACAUGCAAGUUGAGCGCUGAAGGUUGGUACUUGUACCAACUGGAUGAGCAGCGAACGGGUGAGUAACGCGUGGGGAAUCUGCCUUUGAGCGGGGGACAACAUUUGGAAACGAAUGCUAAUACCGCAUAAAAACUUUAAACACAAGUUUUAAGUUUGAAAGAUGCAAUUGCAUCACUCAAAGAUGAUCCCGCGUUGUAUUAGCUAGUUGGUGAGGUAAAGGCUCACCAAGGCGAUGAUACAUAGCCGACCUGAGAGGGUGAUCGGCCACAUUGGGACUGAGACACGGCCCAAACUCCUACGGGAGGCAGCAGUAGGGAAUCUUCGGCAAUGGACGAAAGUCUGACCGAGCAACGCCGCGUGAGUGAAGAAGGUUUUCGGAUCGUAAAACUCUGUUGGUAGAGAAGAACGUUGGUGAGAGUGGAAAGCUCAUCAAGUGACGGUAACUACCCAGAAAGGGACGGCUAACGACG
Molecule: ribosomal RNA, 495 nt
Filed under: uncultured bacterium
Lineage: Bacteria
Description: partial 16S ribosomal RNA
Rfam family: Bacterial small subunit ribosomal RNA
Source: RNAcentral